RNAcentral lists this ribosomal RNA (496 nucleotides) under uncultured bacterium. RNAcentral describes it as "partial 16S ribosomal RNA". It matches the Rfam family "Bacterial small subunit ribosomal RNA", at positions 29 to 507 of the family's 1533-position model. The record is from RNAcentral.
AUGAACGCUGGCGGCGUGCCUAAUACAUGCAGGUCGAGCGAACAGACGAGGAGCUUGCUCCUCUGACGUUAGCGGCGGGCGGGUGAGUAACACGUGGAUAACCUACCUAUAAGACUGGGAUAACUUCGGGAAACCGGAGCUAAUACCGGAUAAUAUAUUGAACCGCAUGGUUCAAUAGUGAAAGACGGUUUUGCUGUCACUUAUAGAUGGAUCCGCGCCGCAUUAGCUAGUUGGUAAGGUAACGGCUUACCAAGGCAACGAUGCGUAGCCGACCUGAGAGGGUGAUCGGCCACACUGGAACUGAGACACGGUCCAGACUCCUACGGGAGGCAGCAGUAGGGAAUCUUCCGCAAUGGGCGAAAGCCUGACGGAGCAACGCCGCGUGAGUGAUGAAGGUCUUCGGAUCGUAAAACUCUGUUAUUAGGGAAGAACAAAUGUGUAAGUAACUAUGCACGUCUUGACGGUACCUAAUCAGAAAGCCACGGCUAACUACGUG